CGGGGGCGUGCUUAUACAUGCAAGUCGAGCGGACAGAUGGGAGCUUGCUCCCUGAUGUUAGCGGCGGACGGGUGAGUAACACGUGGGUAACCUGCCUGUAAGACUGGGAUAACUCCGGGAAACCGGGGCUAAUACCGGAUGCUUGAUUGAACCGCAUGGUUCAAUUAUAAAAGGUGGCUUUUAGCUACCACUUACAGAUGGACCCGCGGCGCAUUAGCUAGUUGGUGAGGUAACGGCUCACCAAGGCAACGAUGCGUAGCCAACCUGAGAGGGUGAUCGGCCACACUGGGACUGAAACACGGCCCAAACUCCUACGGGAGGCAGCAGUAGGGAAUCUUCCGCAAUGGACGAAAGUCUGACGGAGCAACGCCGCGUGAGUGAUGAAGGUUUUCGGAUCGUAAAACUCUGUUGUUAGGGAAGAACAAGUACCGUUCGAAUAGGGCGGUACCUUGACGGUACCUAACCAGAAAGCCACGGCUAACUACGUGCCAGCAGCCGCGGUAAUACGUAGGUGGCAAGCGUUGUCCGGAAUUAUUGGGCGUAAAGCGCGCGCAGGCGGUUUCUUAAGUCUGAUGUGAAAGCCCCCGGCUCAACCGGGGAGGGUCAUUGGAAACUGGGGAACUUGAGUGCAGAAGAGGAGAGUGGAAUUCCACGUGUAGCGGUGAAAUGCGUAGAGAUGUGGAGGAACACCAGUGGCGAAGGCGACUCUCUGGUCUGUAACUGACGCUGAGGCGCGAAAGCGUGGGGAGCGAACAGGAUUAGAUACCCUGGUAGUCCACGCCGUAAACGAUGAGUGCUAAGUGUUAGAGGGUUUCCGCCCUUUAGUGCUGCAGCAAACGCAUUAAGCACUCCGCCUGGGGAGUACGGUCGCAAGACUGAAACUCAAGGAAUUGACGGGGGCCCGCACAAGCGGUGGAGCAUGUGUUUAAUUCGAAGCACGCGAAGACCUUACCAGGUCUUGACAUCCUCUGACACCCUAGAGAUAGGGCUUCCCCUUCGGGGCAGAGUGACAGUGGUGGCAUGCUUGUCGUCAG
This 1034-nucleotide ribosomal RNA is filed under the name Bacillus licheniformis. RNAcentral's name for it is "bacterial SSU rRNA". It matches the Rfam family "Bacterial small subunit ribosomal RNA", at positions 37 to 1058 of the family's 1533-position model. Lineage: Bacteria; Bacillati; Bacillota; Bacilli; Caryophanales; Bacillaceae. The record is from RNAcentral.